ACAAACCGGAGGAAGGUGGGGAUGACGUCAAAUCAUCAUGCCCCUUAUGACCUGGGCUACACACGUGCUACAAUGGAUGGUACAGAGGGCAGCAAGACCGCGAGGUGGAGCAAAUCCCUUAAAACCAUUCUCAGUUCGGAUUGCAGGCUGCAACUCGCCUGCAUGAAGCCGGAAUCGCUAGUAAUCGCGGAUCAGCAUGCCGCGGUGAAUACGUUCCCGGGCCUUGUACACACCGCCCGUCACACCACGAGAGUUUGUAACACCCGAAGUCGGUGGGGUAACCAUAUGGAGCCAGCCGCCGAAGGUGGGACAGAUGAUUGGGGUGAAGUCGUAACAAGGUAGCCGUAUCGGAAGGUGCGGCUGGAUCACCUCCUUUCUAAGGAA
RNAcentral lists this ribosomal RNA (384 nucleotides) under Butyricicoccus sp. 1XD8-22. RNAcentral describes it as "bacterial SSU rRNA". It matches the Rfam family "Bacterial small subunit ribosomal RNA", at positions 1158 to 1533 of the family's 1533-position model. The record is from RNAcentral. Lineage: Bacteria; Bacillati; Bacillota; Clostridia; Eubacteriales; Butyricicoccaceae.